GCAGUCGAGCGACCAAUGGGAGCUUGCUUCCUGAGGUUAGCGGCGGACGGGUGGAGUAACACGUGGGUUAACCUUGCCUGUAAGAUUGGGAUAACUCCGGGAAACCCGGAAGCUAAUUACCGGAUAAUCAUUUUGAACCCGCAUGGUUCAAAAUUGAAAGACGGCUUUUAGCUGUCACUUACAGAUGGACCCGCGGCGCAUUAGCUAGUUGGGGAGGUAACGGCUCACCAAGGCGACGAUGCGUAGCCGACCUGAGAGGGUGAUCGGCCACACUGGGAACUGAGACACGGCCCAGACUCCUACGGGAGGCAGCAGUAGGAAAUCUUCCGCAAUGGGACGAAAGUCUGACGAACCACCGCCGCGUGAACGAUGAAGGCCUUCGGGUCGUAAAGUUCUGUUGUUAGGGAAGAACAAGUACCAGAGUAACUGCUGGUACCUUGACGGUACCUAACCAGAAAGCCACGGCUAACUACGUGCCACCAGCCGCGGUAAUACGUAGGUGGCAAGCGUUGUCCGGAAUUAUGGGGCGUAAAGCGCGCGCAGGCGGUUUCUUAAGUCUGAUGUGAAACCCCACGGCUCAACCGUGGAGGGUCAUUGGAAACUGGGGAACUUUGAGUGCAGAAGAGGAGAGUGAAAUUUCCACGUGUAGCGGUGAAAUGCGUAGAGAUGUGGAGGAACACCAGUGGCGAAGGCGACUCUCUGGUCUGUAACUGACGCUGAGGCGCGAAAGCGUGGGGAGCGAACAGGAUUAGAUACCCUGGUAGUCCACGCCGUAAACGAUGAGUGCUAAGUGUUAGAGGGUUUCCGCCCUUUAGUGCUGCAGCAAACGCAUAAGC
Molecule: ribosomal RNA, 836 nt
Filed under: Bacillus sp. (in: firmicutes)
Lineage: Bacteria; Bacillati; Bacillota; Bacilli; Caryophanales; Bacillaceae
Description: bacterial SSU rRNA
Rfam family: Bacterial small subunit ribosomal RNA
Source: RNAcentral